UACGGGGGGGGCAAGCGUUGUUCGGAAUUACUGGGCGUAAAGGGCGCGUAGGCGGCCAGCACAAGUCAGUUGUGAAAUCUCCGAGCUUAACUCGGAAAGGUCAACUGAUACUGUGCGGCUAGAGUGCGGAAGGGGCAACUGGAAUUCUUGGUGUAGCGGUGAAAUGCGUAGAUAUCAAGAGGAACACCUGCGGCGAAGGCGGGUUGCUGGGCCGACACUGACGCUGAGGCGCGAAAGCUAGGGGAGCGAACGGG
RNAcentral lists this ribosomal RNA (254 nucleotides) under uncultured bacterium. RNAcentral describes it as "partial 16S ribosomal RNA". It matches the Rfam family "Bacterial small subunit ribosomal RNA", at positions 524 to 776 of the family's 1533-position model. The record is from RNAcentral.